UGGAAAUGCAGCUGCAUGUCUCUGUCAUGGCUGAGGGCACUGUUAAUUGAACUUGUGCUAAGUGACUGAUAGCAGCUGAGAGGAUUGAGGUGACUGAAGGACUGGCUAUACCUGGGCUGCAAAUAAAUACUAAAAUCCCAGAACACUUGAACGGAUGAGUAAUAGUCACCAAUGAGGGGGAGGAGGAUAAAUGUUAUAAAACAGCAUCUGAAGAGAAGAACAAAAGGACUGGAAACAAAGCCCUAAAUCCAUAAGAAGAUCAAACUCCUUCCUGAUGUAACUCCAGUAAAAUAAUGUAACACAGCCCAUGGAUGCAUCCAGUCCAUGAUUUUUACACAGGAACAACAGAAGUCAUAAAUAUUUCAGGAAUCUCAAAUAGGACAAUGUCUAUACAGCAGAAGUCAAGAUGGAGAUUUUGGUCUGGAAGAGAACUUUAUUUUUGCACUUUGUGUCUUUUUUAUUGCAGGGCCUGGAGAUUGUACAUCUUCAGGGAUGUCACUUUCUAAAUUAAGAGGUGAUCUGAGUUUGGUUUCAGUGGAAGUUGGAACAGGCCACAUGUGCAUAGGAAGCAUUGCUACCUAUCAUAGUAGGUACCUUCAUACUCAUACCUUCACAUAUUGUUGCCUAACAUAGUUGUUACCAAUCAAUGUGCUAAUACAUAGUGGCAACACUGGAAAGGUGUCCCAUAUAUAACAUAUUCCAGGUGUCUAGUUUUUCCUUGACUGAUUUGCUGCUGCAAGCUGUUUGGUGCCUUUAGCUCAAAACUUGUGCUCUUUAGAAUGACAGGGGCUGCUAAUUUUGUCCUAAAACCUGGAUCUAUGAAAUCGAAAUUUAUAAAAUCUGAAACCCAAGGAAUUACUAUAUUGUUAAACUCUACUUGUUUGCAAACUGACAGAUACCCUCUGGCAAUGCCUGAAUUCCCAUACAGCAAAGACUUG
Molecule: long non-coding RNA, 938 nt
Organism: Oenanthe melanoleuca
Lineage: Eukaryota; Metazoa; Chordata; Aves; Passeriformes; Muscicapidae
Exons: 3
Source: RefSeq, a predicted model, not a curated record